RNAcentral lists this ribosomal RNA (492 nucleotides) under uncultured bacterium. RNAcentral's name for it is "partial 16S ribosomal RNA". It matches the Rfam family "Bacterial small subunit ribosomal RNA", at positions 29 to 507 of the family's 1533-position model. The record is from RNAcentral.
AUUGAACGCUGGCGGCAUGCUUUACACAUGCAAGUCGAACGGUAACAGGCCUUCGGGUGCUGACGAGUGGCGAACGGGUGAGUAAUGCAUCGGAACGUACCCAGAGGUGGGGGAUAACGCAGCGAAAGCUGUGCUAAUACCGCAUGUGAUCUGAGGAUGAAAGCGGGGGACCGAGCAGCAAUGUUUGGCCUCGCGCCUUUGGAGCGGCCGAUGUCGGAUUAGCUAGUUGGUGGGGUAAAGGCCUACCAAGGCGACGAUCCGUAGCUGGUCUGAGGGGACGACCAGCCACACUGGGACUGAGACACGGCCCAGACUCCUACGGGAGGCAGCAGUGGGGAAUUUUGGACAAUGGGCGCAAGCCUGAUCCAGCAAUACCGCGUGCGGGAAGAAGGCCUUCGGGUUGUAAACCGCUUUUGGCAGGAACGAAACGGUGUCCGCUAAUACCGGGCGCUAAUGACGGUACCUGCAGAAUAAGCACCGGCUAACUACGUG